RNAcentral lists this ribosomal RNA (626 nucleotides) under Bacillus subtilis. Its description in RNAcentral is "bacterial SSU rRNA". The record is from RNAcentral. Lineage: Bacteria; Bacillati; Bacillota; Bacilli; Caryophanales; Bacillaceae.
CGGCGGUGCAUAAUACAUGCAAGUCGAGCGGACAGAUGGGAGCUUGCUCCCUGAUGUUAGCGGCGGACGGGUGAGUAACACGUGGGUAACCUGCCUGUAAGACUGGGAUAACUCCGGGAAACCGGGGCUAAUACCGGAUGSUUGUUUGAACCGCAUGGUUCAGACWUAAAAGGUGGCUUCGGCUACCACUUACAGAUGGACCCGCGGCGCAUUAGCUAGUUGGUGAGGUAACGGCUCACCAAGGCRACGAUGCGUAGCCGACCUGAGAGGGUGAUCGGCCACACUGGGACUGAGACACGGCCCAGACUCCUACGGGAGGCAGCAGUAGGGAAUCUUCCGCAAUGGACGAAAGUCUGACGGAGCAACGCCGCGUGAGUGAUGAAGGUUUUCGGAUCGUAAAGCUCUGUUGUWAGGGAAGACSAAGUGCCGUUCAAAUAGGGCGGCACCUUGACGGUACCUAACCAGAAAGCCACGGCUAACUACGUGCCAGCAGCCGGCGGUUAAUASGUAGGUGGCAGCGUGUCCGGAUUAUGGGCGUAAGGCUCSCAGSGGGUCUAGUYGAUGUAGCCCCCGGCUAACGGGAGGUCAUGGAACUGCACUGAUGCGAAUGAGUGCAUACAGGUUAC